This is a non-coding RNA of Oryzias latipes (Japanese medaka), 1031 nucleotides long. Lineage: Eukaryota; Metazoa; Chordata; Actinopteri; Beloniformes; Adrianichthyidae. The record is from RefSeq and is a predicted model, not a curated record.
UUUGGCUGAUGCCCGGUUUCGCCAGCAGAGGGCGCUCGGUGCUCUAUAGAUGUGUUGCUGAUCAGCAGAAGAAGCCAAGCCAAUACAGGUUGAAUGAGUCAGCAGAAUGUGAAUAAGUGCGCUCUUUUUUCACCAUGACUUUGUAUAUUUUGCAGGAUUUUUUUCAAAAUUAAAUAUGUUGCACAGAGAGUGAGUUGGCCCAUCAUUCUGAACCGUGUAACACAUGUGUGUGAAGGUUUUUGGAGUAUAUUGCUGUGUUUGUGAUAUUUGAGUGUAAAUGGAUGAGUUCGUCUGUGAGUAGACAUUUACAUGUGAAAGAAAUAACAAUAAACGAUAAACAUUAAAUAAAUUGCUGUCCCUUUGGCGGUAAUCCUACCCCCUCCUAUCUGUUUCUUUAACCACUACAUCUUUUUCUUUCUUUCCUUUUUUAUGUUUAUUUCAAAUGAUUUAAUGAUUAUAAUACCCAUCUAUGACAUACCACUCUCCGUCUCUCAUCCAUACAAUAAAAAUUAAGUUUUGCCCCAAAUACAUAAGGGGUUUAUACAAAUGUAGGCCUUGUGUGUCUCAAGCUACACAACAGCAUAUUGUGGCAACAUCUGUUCAACACAAAAAACCCUCAGCUCUUAUGUUUCCUCAGCUGCUAUAGGACAAGAAAUAUGAAAUAUGGAUUUUUUCCUAUUUCAUGUAUACAAAUAUCUUUUGUUUUUCAUUGCAUACUAUAGCUUUCAAUAUUUUUUUAGAGAAAAAAAAUCAAAACAAGGCUUAUAGACAUGUUUUAAAAAACACGACUUUCGUUUUACCAACACUGCAGAAAGGUUUGUCUUUAAACAAUAAAGCUGGAUGCUUUAGCUCGCACAAAACUCUCGUAAAACAUGUUAUGACAAAUGGAAAAACUAUGCCUCCCUUGUUUAUUUAAAGCAAGGAACUUUUAGUCUUUCCCAUAAAUACAAGCCAGCCCCACAGCAUGUUUCACAGCAUGCUUGAUUUUUUUUUGUCAUGUGUUCAUACUUGAAGUGAAAGGAGUGGCAAAA